Molecule: long non-coding RNA, 1040 nt
Organism: Cygnus olor (mute swan)
Lineage: Eukaryota; Metazoa; Chordata; Aves; Anseriformes; Anatidae
Exons: 5
Source: RefSeq, a predicted model, not a curated record
CACCUCUAACACUGGUGCUUGCUGCUCAUCUACUGACCUCCCUGUGCAGAUAUAUAGCUGUGCUACUGGAUUUACUUGGGCUGCUUCUUCCCUAGAAACAAGACAGCCCUUCAGUCUGAAAAAGAAGGGGAGAUAGAUUUGUAGUGCUAUAAAUUGUGAUGGUCUGUGACAUCCCACUGAUUGCUUAUUUGAUAAUCUUCAUUCUGACAUUUCAAGCAGUGCUGAAGUGGCCUUUGGAGAUCUCUGGAAAGCUGCACUGGACAACACUUUACUGGAGAAGAACAACCAUAUCUGGUGUUAUUUUCCAGCAGGAUUCGUUUUGUUGAGGACACAAAACAAAAGCCUUUCUGUCACUGGACAUGCCAUUCGCCUGUCCUGCAGCCAGCCUUUGGCCUUCCAGAUUUGCUGAGUGUGCUCCAAGGGACUGCAGCAGUGCUUUGCUGCUAACUCUUGCCCUGCUUCCUGGAGAGCCAUUGUGCUGCACUGCAAGCAGGCAGGAUACUCGCCCCAGAGUGAGCAGCGAUGGAGGGACUGACGCCGAAACCGCUGGAGACGUUACAGCAUCAUUCCCACAAGCAGCCUUUCAUUGGCAUCUGUGUCCCACAUUCUGCCCUCUCCCUUUCUGGUACCUGAGACUUCAGGUGCAUUAAAGUAACACAGGGUUUGAAGAUGCCUCUCAGCACUACACUGAGGAAGAAGAUAUAUUUGGUUGAGAAGAAUCCCACCCUUACAAAGGGUUAUGGAUCAGAUCACUCAGAAUCCCCUUUAGCUGAGUUGGUGUGGAUGACUACACCAUUUGGACGUUAAUGAGAGGAGGACAAGACUGAAGAUUUACAAAAUCUGUAAGGCUGUAUUGAUUCCUACUGCUGAGCUGCUCUAACAAAGCUGAUUUUUAAUCCCAGUAUGAAGAUGAGAUGCUCUAGUGAUGGAAAUUGGAGGAAACUAUGGUGCCUUUGUCUGCAUGUCAUUUCCAAAUGCUUUUCUUCUGCUAUUUUGCUCCUUGCCACUGGCCAAUGUGAUAUAUAUUGGAAAUAAAGAAA